This 74-nucleotide transfer RNA is filed under the name Mus musculus (house mouse). RNAcentral describes it as "tRNA-Ser". The record is from RNAcentral. Lineage: Eukaryota; Metazoa; Chordata; Mammalia; Rodentia; Muridae.
GUGGCAUGGCUCAGUGGUUAGAGCACUGGCUGCUGCUCUUCUAGAGGAUCCUGGUUCGAUUCCCAGCAGCCACA